GCCGCGGUGGCGAAAUUGGUAGACGCGCUACGUUCAGGUCGUAGUGGGGGCAACCUCGUGGUGGUUCAAGUCCACUCCGCGGCA
This 84-nucleotide transfer RNA is filed under the name Minisyncoccota bacterium. RNAcentral describes it as "tRNA-Leu". It matches the Rfam family "tRNA". Rfam says of the family: Transfer RNA (tRNA) molecules are approximately 80 nucleotides in length. Their secondary structure includes four short double-helical elements and three loops (D, anti-codon, and T loops). Lineage: Bacteria; Bacillati; Minisyncoccota. The record is from RNAcentral.